Molecule: ribosomal RNA, 494 nt
Filed under: uncultured bacterium
Lineage: Bacteria
Description: partial 16S ribosomal RNA
Rfam family: Bacterial small subunit ribosomal RNA
Source: RNAcentral
GACGAACGCUGGCGGCGUGCUUAACACAUGCAAGUCGAACGGUGAAGCGCCUUCCUUUUUGGUGGGUGUGGAUGAGUGGCGAACGGGUGAGUAACACGUGAGUAACCUGCCCCCUUCUUCUGGAUAACCGCAUGAAAGUGUGGCUAAUACGGGAUAUUCUGGGUCUGUCGCAUGAUGGGUCUGGGAAAGAUAUUGUUUCGGUGGGGGAUGGGCUCGCGGCCUAUCAGCUUGUUGGUGGGGUGAUGGCCUACCAAGGCGGUGACGGGUAGCCGGCCUGAGAGGGUGGACGGUCACACUGGGACUGAGACACGGCCCAGACUCCUACGGGAGGCAGCAGUGGGGAAUAUUGCACAAUGGGCGCAAGCCUGAUGCAGCGACGCCGCGUGAGGGAUGGCGGCCUUCGGGUUGUGAACCUCUUUCGCCAGUGAAGCAGGCCUGCCUCGUUUGUGGGUGGGUUGACGGUAGCUGGAUAAGAAGCGCCGGCUAACUACGUG